GACGAACGCUGGCGGCGUGCCUAAUACAUGCAAGUCGAACGCAGUGGGGACGGGUGAGUAACACCUGGGUAACCUCCCAUCAGAGGGGAUAACCCUUGGCAACAGGUGCUAAACCGCUACUGAUGGAUGGACCCGCGGUGCAUUAGCUAGUUGGUGAGGUAACGGCUCACCUAGGCCACGAUGCAUAGCCGGCCUGAGAGGGGGAUCGGCCACACUGGGACUGAGAAACGGCCCAGACUCCUACGGGAGGCAGAAGUAGGGAAUCUUCGGCAAUGGACGAAAGUCUGACCGAGCAACGCCGCGUGAGUGAAGAAGGUUUUCGGAUCGUAAAACUCUGUUGUUAGAGAGGCGGUAGCUGACCAGAAAGCAACGGCUAACUACGUGCCAGCAGCCGCGGUAAUAC
RNAcentral lists this ribosomal RNA (403 nucleotides) under uncultured bacterium. Its description in RNAcentral is "partial 16S ribosomal RNA". It matches the Rfam family "Bacterial small subunit ribosomal RNA", at positions 28 to 526 of the family's 1533-position model. The record is from RNAcentral.